Molecule: ribosomal RNA, 254 nt
Filed under: uncultured bacterium
Lineage: Bacteria
Description: partial 16S ribosomal RNA
Rfam family: Bacterial small subunit ribosomal RNA
Source: RNAcentral
UACAGAGGGUGCGAGCGUUAAUCGGAAUUACUGGGCGUAAAGCGUGCGUAGACGGUCAUGUAAGUCGGGUGUGAAAGCCCCCGGGCUCAACCUGGGAAUUGCAUUCGAGACUGCAUGGCUAGGGUGCGGAAGAGGGAAGCGGAAUUUCCGGUGUAGCGGUGAAAUGCGUAGAUAUCGGAAGGAACACCAGUGGCGAAAAGCGGCUUCCUGGUCCAGCACCGACGUCAGGCACGAAAGCGUGGGGAGCAAACAGG